UCUGCCUUGGCUUUCAGAACCACU
RNAcentral lists this non-coding RNA (24 nucleotides) under Cricetulus griseus (Chinese hamster). The record is from RNAcentral. Lineage: Eukaryota; Metazoa; Chordata; Mammalia; Rodentia; Cricetidae.